GGUGGUGGUGCAUGGCCGUU
RNAcentral lists this non-coding RNA (20 nucleotides) under Arabidopsis thaliana (thale cress). The record is from RNAcentral. Lineage: Eukaryota; Viridiplantae; Streptophyta; Magnoliopsida; Brassicales; Brassicaceae.